Molecule: transfer RNA, 77 nt
Filed under: Jonesia denitrificans
Lineage: Bacteria; Bacillati; Actinomycetota; Actinomycetes; Micrococcales; Jonesiaceae
Also listed under: 1 other name
Description: tRNA-Met
Rfam family: tRNA
About the family: Transfer RNA (tRNA) molecules are approximately 80 nucleotides in length. Their secondary structure includes four short double-helical elements and three loops (D, anti-codon, and T loops).
Source: RNAcentral
GCCCCAAUAGCUCAGCUGGUUAGAGCAGGAGACUCAUAAUCUCUUGGUCGCGGGUUCAAGUCCUGCUUGGGGCACCA